GCGCUGCAGGCUGCGACUUAUCAGGUGCUUUAUAGCUCCCUACCUGCUAUGUGAGACAGGAACACCAGAUGAGGCUGAGGACUGGAUAUUUCCCUCUCCUCCUAUGAAAGAUUCCGCUCUGGAGCCAAAAAAACAGUUUUUCUUGGCGUGUGUAUGUGAAAUCCUGGUGGAAUUCCUUGAAGUAAAAUCCAUGUAAGUUUUGGAGCCACCUAAGAUUGUGACAUCCAGGAGUUUCUUACAGUUAACACUAGCACAAGCUCAGUCUCUAGGUCUCAAAAUGACCAUGUAAGUGUUCAGUUUGUGGAUCCAGACGCUUCUGCUCCAGAGAGUAAGAAUUUUGAGAAGAGAAACUCUUAUCUUUUAAUUUUUAUCCCAGAGCAGUGGCCAAAUGACAGAAAAUAUAACAUGAAUAUAUUUUUGAAUGAAUCAAAUGAAGAAGAGCUAGAUUUAAUUGGGUUAUGGAGUUUAAGGAGAUGGGCUCAUUGAACUUGGACUUUUGAGUUAAUUCUGUAAUGAGUUAAGACUUUGGGAGACCGUUGGGAAGGCAUGAUUAUGUUUUGCAAUGUGCGAAGGAGGAAGAUUUACCUGCUUCCAUUUCACCUGCUGCCAUGAUUGUACAUUUCCUGAGACCUCCCCAGCUAUGCCUCCUGUACAGCCUGAAGAACUGUG
This 669-nucleotide long non-coding RNA is filed under the name Homo sapiens (human). RNAcentral's name for it is "HSALNT0210509". Lineage: Eukaryota; Metazoa; Chordata; Mammalia; Primates; Hominidae. The record is from RNAcentral.